GGUGGCUAAGUGGUAGAGUGCUUGCCUUGUAAGCAUGAGGCCCUGGGUUCGAUUCCUCAGUACCA
RNAcentral lists this transfer RNA (65 nucleotides) under Dipodomys ordii (Ord's kangaroo rat). It matches the Rfam family "tRNA". From Rfam's summary of the family: Transfer RNA (tRNA) molecules are approximately 80 nucleotides in length. Their secondary structure includes four short double-helical elements and three loops (D, anti-codon, and T loops). Lineage: Eukaryota; Metazoa; Chordata; Mammalia; Rodentia; Heteromyidae. The record is from Rfam by way of RNAcentral.